CGAGGAAUAUUGGGCAAUGCCCGAAAGGGUGACCCAGCAACGCCGCGUGGAGGAUGAAGGUCGUAAGAUUGUAAACUCCUGUUAGAGGGGAAGAAUAACUAAGUUUGGAGCUUAGUAUGACUGUACCCUCAGAGAAAGCCCCGGCUAACUACGUGCCAGCAGCCGCGGUAAUACGUAGGGGGCAAGCGUUGUCCGGAUUUACUGGGGGUAAAGGGCGCGCAGGCGGGAUAAAAAGUCAGUGGUGAAAUCCUACAGCUUAACUGUAGAACUGCCUUUGAUACUUUUAUUCUUGAGUUCGGGAGAGAGAGACGGGAUUCCAGGUGUAGUGGUGAAAUACGUAGAUAUCUGGAAGAACACCAGUUGCGAAGGCGGUCUCUUGGUCCGACACUGACGCUGAGGCGCGAAAGCGUGGGGAGCAAACA
This 422-nucleotide ribosomal RNA is filed under the name uncultured bacterium. Its description in RNAcentral is "bacterial SSU rRNA". It matches the Rfam family "Bacterial small subunit ribosomal RNA", at positions 355 to 774 of the family's 1533-position model. The record is from RNAcentral.